RNAcentral lists this small RNA (551 nucleotides) under Pongo abelii (Sumatran orangutan). RNAcentral describes it as "processed transcript". Lineage: Eukaryota; Metazoa; Chordata; Mammalia; Primates; Hominidae. The record is from RNAcentral.
GUCUUAGAUGAGGUGGAGCGCCGGCGUGGGAUCUCCGCUGCAUUGGUCUAUCCUUUCAUGAGAAGUCUCAUGGAGUCGCCCUUCCCAGCCCCAGGGAAGACCAUCAAAGUGAAGACAUUCCUGCCAGGUGCUGGCAAUGAGGUGUUAGAGCUGCGGCGGCCCAUGGACUCAAGGCUGGAGCACGUGGACUUUGAGUGCCUUUUUACCUGCCUCAGUGUGCGCCAGCUCAUCCGAAUCUUUGCCUCGCUGCUGCUGGAGCGCCGGGUCAUUUUUGUGGCAGAUAAGCUCAGUACCCUCUCCAGCUGCUCCCAUGCGGUGGUGGCCUUGCUCUACCCCUUCUCCUGGCAGCACACCUUCAUUCCUGUCCUCCCGGCCUCCAUGAUUGACAUCGUCUGCUGUCCCACCCCCUUCCUGGUUGGCCUGCUCUCCAGCUCCCUCCCCAAACUGAAGGAGCUGCCUGUGGAGGAGGCGCUGAUGGUGAAUCUGGGAUCUGACCGAUUCAUCCGACAGAUAGAGGGACCUGCUAAGUUGCCCAGGCUGGUCUCUAACUC